Clupea harengus (Atlantic herring) is the source of this 1436-nucleotide long non-coding RNA. RefSeq lists it as uncharacterized. The transcript is spliced from 3 exons. The record is from RefSeq and is a predicted model, not a curated record. Lineage: Eukaryota; Metazoa; Chordata; Actinopteri; Clupeiformes; Clupeidae.
ACCAUCUACAAGGAAAGAAUUAUGAUUGUGAUUUGCACACCGUACUAUUUUGGGAUAUCAGCUGGCAUAAGAUAAAACGCAUCUAGGCUAUGUUGUCCAUACAUUUAAUUAUUUUUAAAGAAAGUAAAUAUUUGAACCGGAUAAUGAUGUAACAAGCUCUAGCUUAGCUCUAGCUAACUGUCUCUGCACAGUUUCAACAGAUUCCUGACGCAUCUCCAUACACUCUCUAAACACUAUCAUUGGCGUCCGUUCAUUCAGUUAUCAGAAACCAACUCCAUACUCUCUCUAAACACCAUCAUUGGCACCCAUUCAGUUAUCAGAAACCAACUCCAUGCUCUCUCUAAACACUAUCAUUGGCAUCCGUUCAGUUCUCAGAAACCAAACCAUCACUGUAAGGCACAAAGUGCUGAUGGGUGAUCAUAACAUUGCUGAGUGACACCAUCCCACAUGGGACCUGAGUCUGGUCCUAGAUAGGGCCCUCCGCCCACGGUUAACCAUGAGACUCACUAAGCUGGACCACUUUUUGCCGGACUGCUGUGAAAAGCGGUGACACAUUUAUAUAAUACCCGCGGCGCAGCGCUAAAGAUAGCUAGCCCUGUUAGGAGAUGUAGGUUACCUUCAGCCUCUCAGUUCCUUCUGCUCCUUUAUCAUUUCCUUAAUUACAUUUACUGAAAGUGAGCAUCCAACCGCUGAGGGACAGCUGAUGUCAAGCUUAUAAUACUCACUUAAGUCAUAUCUAAGCAGGUAAUGGUAAGCACACUACAUUAAUAUAGAUUAGCGCGUCCCUGCUGUGAGACUCCUGAGUUUAUAUUAAUACUCUGAGACUCCUACUCCAGAGAGUGGGCUGUGUUUCAUUCCUUGAACAUAGCAUGUGGACGUCUGUGUAAGGCCUGAUUUACAGUUUUGCAAUUAGUGGUGUACUGUUUUGUUCAAGGACACUCAAACCGAGAAGCUGGACUCUUUAAGUGGGAACUUCUGGUUGUGCAACAUCCACUACAUGAGACUUGGUCUUCUGCUGAGGGAUCUGUCAAGUUUGAGCCCCUUGCUGAAGCACUGAGCUCUUGGCGUGACGAGAGAAGGGGGCUGCCAUGGUUCUGUUUGUCUUCUAUUUAUAGCCCCCCUGGCCCUUGCAGCUGUCCCACUACUUCCCCCUCACACACACACACACACACACACACACACACACACACACACCCCCCUCCUUCCCUGUGUGCGUCUUGGCGUUGAGCUCAGCGUGUGUACACUCCUCUGCGGAAUCGCCCCCCGUAUCCACCUACUGCUGACUCUGCCCUCACCCUCCGGUACCAGCCACGGACUACCCCCAGUUGGACCCUCUACCCCUGGGCUUGUCCUCGUGUGGAAGCCCUGGUGCACGGCGCGCAGCACUGGAGAGCAGGUUAAAGACGUCCCGCCCGCUUCCAGAGCCUCAGACGUAA